GUGGGGAAUAUUGGACAAUGGGCGAAAGCCUGAUCCAGCCAUGCCGCGUGUGUGAAGAAGGUCUUCGGAUUGUAAAGCACUUUAAGUUGGGAGGAAGGGCAGUAAGUUAAUACCUUGCUGUUUUGACGUUACCGACAGAAUAAGCACCGGCUAACUUCGUGCCAGCAGCCGCGGUAAUACGAAGGGUGCAAGCGUUAAUCGGAAUUACUGGGCGUAAAGCGCGCGUAGGUGGUUUUGUAAGUAGGAAGUGAAAUCCCCGGGCUCAACCUGGGAACUGCUUUCAAAACUGCUGAGCUAGAGUACGGUAGAGGGUGGUGGAAUUUCCUGUGUAGCGGUGAAAUGCGUAGAUAUAGGAAGGAACACCAGUGGCGAAGGCGACCACCUGGACUGAUACUGACACUGAGGUGCGAAAGCGUGGGGAGCAAACAGGAUUAGAUACCCUAGUAGUCC
Molecule: ribosomal RNA, 450 nt
Filed under: uncultured bacterium
Lineage: Bacteria
Description: partial 16S ribosomal RNA
Rfam family: Bacterial small subunit ribosomal RNA
Source: RNAcentral